RNAcentral lists this ribosomal RNA (253 nucleotides) under uncultured Phenylobacterium sp. Its description in RNAcentral is "partial 16S ribosomal RNA". It matches the Rfam family "Bacterial small subunit ribosomal RNA", at positions 524 to 776 of the family's 1533-position model. Lineage: Bacteria; Pseudomonadati; Pseudomonadota; Alphaproteobacteria; Caulobacterales; Caulobacteraceae. The record is from RNAcentral.
UACGAAGGGGGCUAGCGUUGCUCGGAAUUACUGGGCGUAAAGGGCGCGUAGGCGGAUGUCUUAGUCAGAGGUGAAAGCCCAGGGCUCAACCUUGGAAAUGCCUUUGAUACUGGACAUCUUGAGUAUGGGAGAGGUGAGUGGAACUCCGAGUGUAGAGGUGAAAUUCGUAGAUAUUCGGAAGAACACCAGUGGCGAAGGCGACUCACUGGCCCAUUACUGACGCUGAGGCGCGAAAGCGUGGGGAGCAAACAGG